Mytilus californianus (California mussel) is the source of this 4852-nucleotide long non-coding RNA. RefSeq lists it as uncharacterized. The record is from RefSeq and is a predicted model, not a curated record. The transcript is spliced from 8 exons. Lineage: Eukaryota; Metazoa; Mollusca; Bivalvia; Mytilida; Mytilidae.
CGGAUGAAUUCAGGUUUCGCAUUUCUUUUAAUUCGUCGUGUUUCAAUAUGUAACUGUUUUAUAUUCAUAUUUAAGUUAAAGCUUUAUGUUUAAUUUACCUGUUAAAAGACAACACAUGUAUACCCAUUUUUGAUUAAUGUUGAAAUGGAUGUACAAAUUUGGAUUUUCAUAUCCUUUGGAUUUCAUUUUCUGUCCAUGAUUCUAUGUACCAAAAUCAAAGUUUUGUUUGGAACUAAAUUCCAUAUUAAGGAGUUUAAUGUGGAUACUGGCAGUGUAAAGCUACUUGUUGAGAAUCCAGGGUUAAUGUUUGCCAUGGAUUUCGAUAAUAAGAACAAAUAUAUUUAUUUUACACAAUAUGAUCAUCGUACAAUAAUGCGAUUUCCUUAUCCAGCACAGAAUGCAGUUAUACAGAAAUUUGUCGACACAGGCAGUGGUCCAGCAGGUAUUGCUAUCGAUUCCGAAAAUGGACAUGUUUAUUGGACUGAAUAUCAAAGUAACAGGCUUAUGCGGUGUAGUGUAACUAGAUCAAAUGAGGUCCAUAUAACAACUCUGACAAGCCCCUUUAGUGUACGAAUCGAUGGAUUAAACAGGGCUAAGAAAAAAGAUCCGACGGUUGUCACAGAAAUCUAAAACGGUGGAUAAAUAUAAGUAUAAACCGUUUUUACAGGUGGAUGUACGUCGCUGAACGCUUUAUACGAAUAAUAAAAGCAAGAUUUAAUUAUAGCGAAGCUCAUGGCAUUGUAGACUUAAAAACACGUGUUGACUAUAUGGAUUUAGAUAUGAAUGAAGACAAAGUCUAUUGGACAACUUUCCAUCAUCCUGGUAACUUAAAAUCAGCAAGUGUUAGAGGAUGUGAUGUUAAAACACUUUAUACAACAGGGCAUACAGAUCAAUUCUGUCCUAUUGGUGUCUAUGGUAGUGCCAUAUUCUAUACCAAUAACCAAAAGCUAUUAAUGCUGAAUAAAACACAAGGACAUUCACCAACUAAUGUGUAUACCGACAGUAACACCAUAUACAGUAUAUAUGUGUAUCAUCAAACAGGUAAUACAUUGUUUAGAUCAUUACUCUGUGUUUUUCAUUAAUUUGCAUCUUCAGUUACCCAAAUACGAAAGCAAAAUUCUCGUAAUUAUUUACAUGUCUAUAAUACAUUGCUUUUUUUCUCAAUUUAUUUUGUUUUUAUUUAUUAUAAUAAUUCAUUUAGUUAAUUUGAUUAUUUGUACCGUUAUUUUAUAAAAUUGUGCUAGCCAUUUCCAAAUAAUCAUGUAAUACUUUUGUAUUUUAUUUUACCACGAUAUAUACAUAAUAUUAGAUAAUUGAUUUUUAUUUUAUUUUACCACGUUAUAUACAAAAUAUCAGGUAAAUGAUUGAGCAACAACAAAGAUAUUAAAAAAAUAGAAGCAAACUAUGAUCAUUUGUUACGAAAAAUGUCGUGGCUCGGUUCGAUUUCAUUAAUGACAAAAUUGCAUUUUUGAAUAGCGAUUGUAUGUAAAACAAAAACUCAUCAAUGAUACCAUACUGGUAAUUUGGUACACCAGAGUGAGGCUUCGUAUAUAUAAGUUUAGUUAGUGGCGAUAUAAUCAAAAUAGAUGGUAUUAUAUUGCAGCUCUGACUGUUAUUUUGUGCAAACUUUUAUAAUUGUGAAAGACAAUUUAUCUCUGAAAAUUGUUCCUUGUAGAUUUGUUUUCGUUAUAAUCAAACAAUGAUUUUUUUCGCAUUGUUUUUGUUAUAUUGUAUCAAUGCUUAUUUGAGCAUUUAAAGUUUAUAUGUGAUAGCUUGUCCGUACAUAUUCAAGCUACUUAACAUAUUGCUUACGCUUAUUUAACGCAAUUCCCAUUUUUAACAUAUCUAAUAUGAUACUUCAAUUAUUGCUCUUGUUUUCAACUUUAUGUAGAUAAUAUAUGUUGUUUCCUUUUUAAUUUUAUGAGGGAAACUUCUUUAAAGAUUAGAAACACUUUAUUAAUCAAUGUGAAAUAUUGCUAAUUGAUUUGGACUGAAUAUAUAUAGCUCAUGUGCUUUUAAUUUGACAGAUUUGAUUUGGACUGAAAAUAUAUAACUAAUGUGCUUUUUAUUUGACAGAUUUGUAUCAUAAAUAUAUACCUUUAAAAUAGCCAAUUUAUUACAAUGAAUACGUUGUCUCAUGUUGAUGAUAUGCAAAUGAUAUGUAAAUUUAUUAUACACUUAAGUUUUUCAUUUUCAAUUUCUAAGAGGUAAGUAACAUUUAGUAUUUACAACAAAUUAUUAUAUUCAAAACAUUAUGCAUUUAAGUGUCUAAACAUGAAGACCUAACUCUGAAUGUAUUUCAAUCACACAAGACUAUUCUAUUCGUAUGUCAGCGAUCAUUUUUACAAACAAAUUUGUUAAUAGAUAAGAAGUUGUAAAUACAGAAAUUAAUGAUUACGUUUUAUUUAAUGCGACUAUUACGUCAGUAUCAAGGAUUCGCAAUACAGUGGCUAAACGGAUGAUCGAGAACAAUAGGAAAUUCACUCUUCUGAUGAAAAAGUCGAGAAAAUCAAUAGUAAACAAUGCCGGUGACGAUACUGAUUGAAAGUUAUUUCUAAACAACUAGCGUACAUUUUGAAUAAAUUAUUUGUUAAACUGAGAAAAUAGACAAGCACAGACAAGAUGUUUUAUGUUCAUUAUUUACAUUAUUCAUUAUUCAUUUGCAUUAGAAGCUUGUGAAACUGAAAUUCAAAAAAAUGUUAAUCUUUGAUGCAUAUUGUUUAAAAAAAAUAGUCCUUAGCCUGUUACAAUUUUCCAAAAUAUACCUAUUUUUCACAUCUUAAUUUUACGAGUACACCGGUCUGUUUUUGUCAAGUCAACUUUCAAUAUAGAAAUGUUGUCUUUUCGUGAAUAUAACAAUUAAAAAGUAAUUCCUGUACAGGUUAGAAAAUUAAAGAUAAAUAUUCUUAUAAAGUAGGUUAUCCGUUAAAAGAAUUUUACAAAAAAAAAUUAUACACUUUUUAAAGGUCGUUGAUUUCUGUACAUGUAUAUGAGGUCAUCUCGAUCUAUUUACAUUCAAUGUUUACAUCGGGAUAAGGUAUGUUUGAAUUUGCUUAGUAACUUAAUUUCAAAAGUGUUAAUCUUUGCUGCAUAUGAAUUGAUUUCAUUGAAAUUUUUGUCCAUGAACUUUACUGAUCUAACUGUACAUAUAUACGGAUAAUUCGCGUGAUCCGGAGAGAUAUACAGCCAGUAGAAAAUAAAUUGAAGUAGGUACUCAAGGAAUUUAUUCGCAUAGCAACAUUUUAAUUCAAAUUUACGAAAGCGCAUAUAACCUGAUGUACUCGUCGUUUGUUGUUUUAUUAAGGAAAUGAUAACAAUAUAUGAAAAUUUGUUUUUAUUUCAAUCUAAUUUUAUUGUUACUAUUUACCAGAAUGUUUCUUAUGAUUCUUUUUAAAACGAGCCAAACAUUGAACAGAUCAAGAUUUUUGUGGAGGAGGUAAUAUUUUGUCACUAGAUUUCCCUCUGAACAAUAACGCAUUACUUUCUGAAUUGACAGUAAUUAAAUCAUAGUUUCCCGAAGAUACACUAAUAGAAAUUUAGAGCAAAAGCAUAUCUGUUUUUAAUUCUAAACUGUAAUAAACAGAUCUUAAUUUGCGUCGCGUGUGAUGCAUGCCUGCAGGAGUAUCAUUACCCAGUCGUUAUCCAUUCACGUUCUAUUUGAUUUCAUAUGAAGUCCUCGUGUAUUUCAUUGGUUGGUUAUGUUCAAAAUUGGUAUUCGAGUGUUGAACAUCGAAAUCCUACUGUUGUCAUUUAUUUUUUCACUUUUACUGGUUUUUUUCUUAGAAAAACUUGAACGGAAGCAGUGUCAAAAAGUCUGAAUUUAUUCCAGAAUCACGUGACAUUACUAAACUAGAGGAAAAUUUCGGAACAGCAUGGUCUAAACGGAAAAUCCGGAUUUUAUCUCAGAUGCGUUUAGGAAAACACAAAAUCAAGACAUCUGUAAAGAAACAUGAGCAAAGAAAAGUACAAUAAAGAUGGGGAAUAAAGAGAAUAUUCAACAUGCCAAAGUUUAUGUCAAAACAUAACCUUAUGAUUUCUGAAGAUAUCUAAAGGAAACAGUAGCAUGAUAAAGUGCUGAGUUGGAACGUUACUCUUACAUAUAUACUUGGGAGUUUGACUCUAUUGACGAACAGCAACGGACUAUAAAGUCAACUGUGUUGAAUGGACACAUUUGAUAGUUGAUGACUAAGAUUUGAUUAAUAUCAGUAAAGUUCAAAGGAUGUCUGACAAACGAGAAACUCAGUAUUCCGUCACCUUCCCAUUAGUCGUUGGAGCAUUUCCACGAUUCGUGACAUACCUCCGUUGAUAAAAUUAGAAAAUAUAAAACAAAAGAUGUUUUAGUCUCUAUUGUGCAAAUACAGGAUUAAGUUCCACAAGCUUAAGUCUUUAGACUAUAGACUUUAGAAUAUGGCAGUUGUUAUCAAAUAGUCCGUUUCUAUGUAUGUUGGCGUUUGUUUUUGUUGCAGUUCAGUGUUUCUAUUAAUCCUUAGUUUUCCUCUUAUAGUUGAUGUGUUUCCCUCGGUUUUGGUUUGUGACCCGGAUUUGUUUUCGCUUACUCGAUUUAUGACUAUUGAACAGCGGUAUACUACUGUUGCCUUUAUUAGACAUCCUUGGCUUUCGAAUUUUGGGUACAAGCGUUCACAUAGUGAACGUUAAUCAUGAAAAGCGCUUCCAACGCAUCGAGUUAACAACGUCUUGUUUUCCUUGUCUAGCAAUGGACUGAUACCGCUGCUGGUUGACCGCUAGUGCGAAAUGAUAGCAACAGCUUAGUUAUCAGUGCUUCGACACAUAUAUGAUUCUGUUAAGUACUCAAUGGAUUAUUUUUGAGAUGAUUAAAAACUCUAAAGAACCA